GGGGGCGAAAUAGGAUCGACGAGGGCGUAAAGGGCGAACUUUUUCCCGGUAUUGUUCCGCCGUUAUCGGGCUAUGCAAUAGUUGCCAACGACAACUUUGCUCCGGUUGCUCAGGCUGCGUAACGCAGUUUGAAAGACCAUUCUGAAGUCCUAACGGGUUAAGCUCCGUUAGGCGGGGUUCGGAGGCACCUGGCAACAGAAGCCUCCACU
RNAcentral lists this transfer-messenger RNA (209 nucleotides) under Bradyrhizobium cosmicum. RNAcentral's name for it is "transfer-messenger RNA Brady_sp_S23321". It matches the Rfam family "Alphaproteobacteria transfer-messenger RNA", at positions 148 to 355 of the family's 355-position model. Rfam says of the family: Bacterial tmRNA, also known as 10Sa RNA or SsrA, is named for its dual tRNA and mRNA-like properties. Its role is to liberate the mRNA from a stalled ribosome. To accomplish this part of the tmRNA is used as a reading frame that ends in a translation stop signal. The record is from RNAcentral. Lineage: Bacteria; Pseudomonadati; Pseudomonadota; Alphaproteobacteria; Hyphomicrobiales; Nitrobacteraceae.